RNAcentral lists this transfer RNA (85 nucleotides) under Hypoxylon sp. FL0890. Its description in RNAcentral is "tRNA-Cys". It matches the Rfam family "tRNA". Rfam says of the family: Transfer RNA (tRNA) molecules are approximately 80 nucleotides in length. Their secondary structure includes four short double-helical elements and three loops (D, anti-codon, and T loops). Further hydrogen bonds mediate the characteristic L-shaped molecular structure. tRNAs have two regions of fundamental functional importance: the anti-codon, which is responsible for specific mRNA codon recognition, and the 3' end, to which the tRNAs corresponding amino acid is attached (by aminoacyl-tRNA synthetases). tRNAs cope with the degeneracy of the genetic code in two manners: having more than one tRNA (with a specific anti-codon) for a particular amino acid; and 'wobble' base-pairing, i.e. permitting non-standard base-pairing at the 3rd anti-codon position. The record is from RNAcentral. Lineage: Eukaryota; Fungi; Ascomycota; Sordariomycetes; Xylariales; Hypoxylaceae.
GGACUCAUAGCUCAGUGGUAGAGCGCAGGAUUGCAGUAACUGAGCAGCUAUCCCGAGGUCGCGUGUUCGAUCCACGCUGGGUCCU